UACAGAGGGGGCCAGCGUUAUUCGGAAUUAUUGGGCGUAAAGGGCGCGUAGGCGGCUUCGCGUGUCUUCCGUGAAAUCCCUCGGCUUAACUGAGGACGUGCGGAAGAAACUGUGAGGCUCGAGUCCGGGAGAGGGGGGUGGAAUUCCCAGUGUAGCGGUGAAAUGCGUAGAUAUUGGGAGGAACACCAGUGGCUAAGGCGGCUCACUGGACCGGUACUGACGCUGAUGCGCGAAAGCGUGGGGAGCAAACGGG
RNAcentral lists this ribosomal RNA (253 nucleotides) under uncultured bacterium. RNAcentral describes it as "partial 16S ribosomal RNA". It matches the Rfam family "Bacterial small subunit ribosomal RNA", at positions 524 to 776 of the family's 1533-position model. The record is from RNAcentral.